This is a long non-coding RNA of Gadus morhua (Atlantic cod), 1785 nucleotides long. Lineage: Eukaryota; Metazoa; Chordata; Actinopteri; Gadiformes; Gadidae. The record is from Ensembl.
AUGCAUAAAGCUAUUAGCCCCAGAAAAAGGAAAUUCAAAUCUGUAGACGGUAAUCCCAAGAGACGGCGUAGAUCUGAUAGCGGGGGUAGCAUUAUGGAUGUAGAUCUUGAAGAGAUGGCUAUGAGGUAUGAUACAACCGGCGAUACGUCUGUAGGCCGUGUGGGGGGUGGGGGCAUGUGUGCUGAAGGUGGUUUAGACAUGCGGGAAAUACGUGCUGACAUAGCUAGAACUAGACGUGUGUUAAUUGAUGCUAAUGUAGGGGGUAAUAGAAUGACGGCUGCACUAGACAGGGCUGCUAUGAUAAAUGUUUCGAACGAUCCGUGUGCAGAUGGAGGGGAGGUGUGUGUGGGGUUAGAUGUCCCCGGGGAUUUAGACACACGGGAUGUGUUGUAUGCGGCGGCGUACACCAGAGAUGUACUUAACACUGUCGAUGGGUGGCUGGCUAGUGUACAAGAGAGGCUCGACAUAGCCGAGCAGAUAGACAUAACAUCACCGAUAGAUGUAUUGCAUGUGUCGCAACGUGACGAAGGGGAUGGUGAGGGUUUUCAGGAACCCCUGGCGGCUGCAGGGGGUAGGACUGGUGACUCUAUAGAGCCGAAUAUACAGGACGGUGGCGGUGGUGGUGGUGGUGGUGGUGGCGGUGUUGUUGACGUUGAUGGUACACCUGCGCCUAUGGCGACGGGUGAUGAUGAUGACGAGUUGCAUACUAGAUUAUUUCCCCGCUUUAACGGUUUUGAGGUUAGACAGACCAUUGAUCUGAGAAGUAUAUCCCUAGUAAAUUUACAAGAAGUCCCUGAUUUGAUCAGGGAGAGACUGUCGGGGGUUAUAACAAACUGCUCACAAAGUACAGCCGACGGUAGCGUCUUAAACGUUGUUUUGAGAGGGCCUUCAUUGGCAGCUGAUGUGCAGGCUGUGCUCGUGGCAGGUGAUGAUUACAAUGCGGAUUUGUUUAUGGAUCAUAUUAGCCAAGUCAUACAGAGUAACGACACAGGUCUGACGGAUGAUGUGUUAGAGCUGGUGGUCACAGGGGUCCAUAACAAACGGGGUGGUGGGCGUUUGAAGUUAAAAACAAUUCCCUAUGAUGAGAUCAUAAACAAGAAGAAAUUAAAUCUCUACACACCAAGUAACACACAUAACAAUUUGUGUUUCUCACUAUGCAUGAUACAUUUUCUGCAGGAGGGGGUAACCGGAGGCAGUACAGUGCCCGACGAGACUAAUUUGGAGGCGGCUCGCACAUUACAUAGGGAGCUGGUGUACGGUCCAGAUCACUCUGUGGGUUUCUCGGAUGUUUUCAAAUUUGAGAGACAUCUAGAUGUUAAAAUCUUGAUGUUUCAUCAUAAUGAUGCAUUCAAGAAGUUGGAGAUGUUCCAGACGCAUAUGGGCCAACAUCCUAAAACAAUAUUGUUGUACCUGCAUGAUAACCAUUAUCAUUGUAUAGUGAACCGCACGGCUUUCUUUGGUAUGCGAUAUGUGUGUGAAUAUUGCUACAAAGCCCACGAGGCCAUUCUAUUCCACAAAUGCCCGGUCCAUUGCAAUGUGUGUCUGACAGUGUGCGAUAGCCUGGCAGGUCGUACUAUAAAGUGCACAGACUGUAGUCGUAUAUGCCGCUCGCAGGUCUGCUACGCCAUACAUAAGCAACGUUCUGCCGUACAUAAAAUGAUACCAUGUGAAAAGAUCAAAUACUGUAAUCAGUGUUGUAGACAGUAUAUCAUACCGCAGAAGAAAAAGAAGAGGGGGGAGGAGGAGGAGGAGGAGGGGGAGGAGGAGGGGAGGAGGAGGAGGAGG